GUUAUAUAUAUUUUUUCUGUUUGAAAAAUAUUGCUUAAAUCUGUUAAAGAAAAUGUCAACACACCACCUUUGUUCCAACAAUGAAUUAUUAAUUUCAAAGAAUUAUUGAUCUCAACUGGACCCAAUUUUUGGAUAUUUAGGGAAGAGACAGCAUUAAUAUACGUAAGGCUCGUAUGUGUCUGCCCUGUGUAUCUGUCGUAUUAUAAUAUCCAGACAGAAAAGAUUAAACCGAGGAUUAAACAUACAAAAUAUGUAAAUAUUUCUAACAAGAAAGAAAUCGUUUAUGAUUUACACCCACUAAAAUUGAUUAUAUAUAUAUCUAUUACAUUAAAUAUCGUUUAUACUCUGAAUCAAUUAUAAAUACAAAAAAAAAUGUAUUCUUCACAACGGAAAAACCACGGAAAAACCAAUAAAAUCCCCCUCGAAGAGCCCACAAAUGAUCAUGUGAUAACAAAACUAUCCACUGAUUUAAUAGGAAAUACUUGUAUUCAAAUAGUAUAUGAGGAUCCUUGCAGUUUGUAAGUAAUUUUGUACAAAUAUUAGAAAAUGUAGAAAUAAUGAAUUAUUAAGAGCGAAUAAAGAGAUACACUAUUGAAUUCAUAAUAUUUAAAAAGCUGGCAAAAUAACAAUAAUCUAAAUAUUGAUAGAGUUCAAAUGAUAACAUUAUACAAUCAAAAUAAGAUAAAAGAUUAGAACUUUCGAUAUAUGUUUAAAAUAUACAAAUUAUGUAUAUAGACUUUUGAAUUGCCAGUGAAUUCUUAAACGUAUUGCAUGUUUGUGGUGUCUCUAAAUUAGUGCAGUAAAUAUUUAUUUUAACGAUGAUUUAGGUACAGUAUAUCACUUGAAUUUAAAACCAAGAGUUACCUUUCAUUUCAAGUAAAUUUACUAACAAUAAAUACAAGAAAUAAAAAGAAACAAAUAGUUAUAAAAAUUGCAUUCAUUUUAUUAUAAUUGAAAUAAUUGUGUAAUGUUCUAAGAAUCUAGUUAUAAAUAUUUUUGUUACUUCGCUUAAGACAAGAAAAGUUUUAUCAUUUCUUUUUUACUGCAUAUGUACAUACAAUCAAAUAAUAUGCUGAAACUGGUUUUUUUUUCGACUUUACAUGGAUAUAUUUGAUCUUAAUUGAACUAAUUAAUAUAUUCGCGUGUAUUGUUGAAUUUAAUCAUGAAACUAAAAAAGGCCAACAAAAAUGUGUAUUUAUUUGUUACAUUAAAGUUUCAUCGAAUGUUUAAAUAAUUUUUAAGGAAAUCGUUACUACGUUUCUCAUUUUAGUUUUCAUAUAAAAAUAAAGAAAGAAUAAAGCUAAAUGAUUUUUCUCAGACAUUCGAAGUAAAUAUGUUUGUUUCGAUUCUAAAUUUUAUAAGUGGGUUAAAACUAUUUAUAAUUUCCCCCAUUGGAAAUGAAAUUCAUCACAUAUUAUUCACGAUAUGAAUUUAAAUAAUAGUUUAAAUUUCGACAAACCCACUUAAGUAACAAUUAUAAAAACAAAUUCGAAAACAGAAUAUAUAUCCCUCAUCAGAAAUUUCAUAUAAACACUUUAUUUUUUUCAGAUUCGGGUAAUGGAAAUAUAAUAAUUAUAAGAAAAACACAUAUCGUAUUAUGUUUUACAUUAUUAUGUUUUACAUAUGAUUCGAAAAUAAAUAAAAACAAAACAUAUAUUUUUUAUCCAAAGAAAUGAAAUCAAAUGCAAAAGGAAAAUUUCAUAUGUUAAGUCAUUUUUAACAGUAGAUGUUAGAUUGGCAAAAACUUGAGUUGAAACUGUAAUGUACAUGCAUGAAAAUUUGUCUUUCGAUGUCUUAAGGAAUAUCAAAUAAAUGAUAUAUUUAUUUAAUAAACUAUUUAUUAAACAAGAUAUGUCACACUGUAAUUUGGAUUAUAUGAAUUAGUCAAAAAAUAAAAAGCUGUUAAACAUAUUUUAUCGCAGAAAAAUUAACAAAUUGUCCAAAUAAAAACACUAAAAUCGAACAUACUUCAUUUAAAUUAUUCUGUUUUAACAAUUGAUCUAUAAUUUUUAAUCUCGCAAAUAAAUUAUCGAUAAUUUGAAAAUAAAAUCUGUAAUGCAUGACGAGCGAGGAUGUCCUUGACAAAUCAAACUUAUUAUCCGAUAUAAAAUAAUCGAUUCCAGACUUCCUGAGUAUUUCAACAGGAAAAGAGUACUUUUUGAAAAGAGACCCAUUUCAUUCAUGAGUUAUCUCUCCUCAUAUGCUAAACUUCAUUUAAAAAUUCUUUAUUCCUGUUGUGAAAGCAGAAUUUUACACUUGCAGUAGGAGAAGGGUCCUGCUGUACACAUCAUUUCAAAUAUAGGUGUAGUGUAUGUCUUACGACACUUUUUAUAAGAAUCUUAUAUUAUAUAUCUGUCUGAUGAUGCAAAUAUCAAAAUUAUAAAAUAAAUAAUUGUUGUAAAUAUAAUGGAAUUUAGUGCGACUGAGAGGUUAGUGCUAUAAAACCAGGUUCAAUCUAUCGUUUUCUACAUUUCAAAAUGCCUGUACCAAGUCAGGAAUAUAACAGUUGAUGUCCAUUCCUUUGAUGUAUUUUAUCAUUUGAUUUUGCAAUUUCAUUAAGGACUUUCCAUUUUGAAUUUUCCUCGGAGUGCAGUAUUUUUGUGAUUUUACUUUUUAUCAUACUUAAGUGUUAAGUUAAGAAUAGUCUAAAGACAGGCAAAACUAAUUUUGAUUAUUUCGUUUAAAUGUCGACAUUAACUUUCCUAACACGGACCUAAGUCUAAUGCUAAUGAGAUGUUCUACAACAUAACUUUUAUUUUCGUACCUCCAACCUGAAGUACAUAAUUUUCCAGAUAUGAAUUACAAAAAACGUAUAUUUUCAUAAGGAGUUUUAAAAAGUCUGGAUUUUUUUUCUCGGAAAUAUAAGUUAACAGUUGUUUUUGAGCCCUUUUAACCUUAAUAUAAGUCAAAAAGAGAUAGUUUAUAUAUCAUAAGAUUAAUCUGACUUUUAAAUAAGAUAUUAUAUACAAACUGUUAGGCAAGAAGAUAGAAUUAAACGAAACAUAACAACCAUAGAUAUAUAUGUAAAAAAAUAUUUUCAAUCAUGCUGAAUCCCACAAAGAGCAAAAAAAAAAACAAAAAAUGAUUUGAGAUCUAGCAAAAUAUGUUUAAUCACGCCGCAUGUAUUGUACUUGUCCCCUGUCAGAAAUCUCUGUACUUUGUUAGAAUUGUAUCAUGAUGUUCAUAUCUGAGCAUCAACCCAACAAUGUUAGAUCUGUAAAUUUGCUUUCGCAAAUUUUUUGUUCUUCCCUCGCCGGGAUUCGAACCCACAAAAUUUGCGAAAGCAAAUUUACAGAUCUAACAUUGUUGGGUUGAUGUUUAGACGAGUUGUAUAUACAUAAUGUACACAGCCAUGCAUCACCAUCAUUGCUGGUGAUCCGAUGGAUAAAUCUGUUGUAGAGUUUUCACUGACUCAGAGGUACUUUUAUAUAUAUAUAUUUAUAUAUAUUACUAGUAAAUAUAAUGAUGCUAUAUUUUUCUUUUGUUAACAUUUUCUUAGUUCAACAUAAACCAAGAAACUGAAUGUAGCUUUGAAGAUAUCUCUAACAAUUAAGACAAAGGAUUAUAUACAUAAGCAUAAAACUUUUCUUUAAAUCGUCGUAUUCAGCACACUAACACACGCGCAAGAAAAAAAAACCUUUUUAAUGACAUUUGGGGAUUAUUUGAUCAUGAUAAAGAUGAUAUCCUAUUGUAUAAACAAUUUCAAGAAUCAGGGCAGUCUCACUUUGAAAGAUUUGUUUUAGAGUAGACCUUAGUUCAAGGGUUUCUGUUUUAAGUUUCCAGAUUUAUACGCCAUUAGACCAUUAUUUGGAAGCAAAGUAUGAGCCGAGACUACGAUCUUAUAUGUUUUUUUCCUUUUUUGUAAAACUGCAUCAAUCCUCAUUUUUACUAUUUGUUUUUUAACCAAGCUUUUAUUUUCUUUUUUUUUCUUUUUGUUUUGAAGAUUUUGGACAGUGUCAUCGUUUGAAUUUGUUUAAAUAAAAACAUGACAUACUUUGACGGAAAACAAUCUAUUCUAUUGUUACUAAACUUAUAUCGACAUUGAUAGAAAUAAGGCUUUCAGAGUUUGAAUUAGAUACGGAAUAAGGCUUUCAGAGUUUAAAUUAGAUACGGAAUAAGCCUUUCAGAGUUUAAUUUAGAUACAUUGGAAUUUUAUUGACAAACAAAAACACACGAUAGACAAAGAAACAAAAAAAUGACAACCGAAUAAGCAGGAUAAUGCCUAGUAGAAGUUCAGACAAAUUGUUAUAUACAAACGACAUGAUGCAGGAAUUUAUUGAAUAGGUGUACGAGAAAAAAGUUAUAUGACAUAUUUAAAGACAAUAUCCUCUAUUGUUUAUGCGCAUAUACAAGCGCAACAGUACUAUGUCGUCAGCGGUUUAUGACGUCGCGGUUUCCGCGAACUGGAAACGUUUAUUAGAGUUAUUCCUCUUUGAGCCGAUGGAGAGAGUGACAAUCGUUUUGAUAGGUUAAUUUGCCGAGAAAAAAAUGAAAAUUGUUUUUAUAUCAUAGACAUGUUCUAGAAUUGGAUAAAAUAUGAGAAUGAAAAGAGAGUCAACUAUAUAGCAAUCUAACAACAAAAAAUACACAAAAAUGACUGUAAAGAAACGAAACAGAAUCUGGAUACUCGACAACAAGAUGAGCCAAUCAAAUUAUAAUAUAAUACUUUUUUCUUUAAUUUUCUACACGUAUAGACUUUCGUAGGUUCUUAAUUAUAUCGAUAUUUUACAAAUCAUUAAGAAAGUACAAAAUCAUCAAUCAUUCUGGUCAUGUCCUCAAAAUUCAAUUUAUCUCUAGCAAAAGAUACAAUACGUACCUAUAUAUAUAUAUGGAUAUGGUAAAUUGCACUGACGUAUUUUCAAUGUGUACGGCACUUACAGUUUUACAUGAAUAUGAUAAUUAGAUUUCUGAUAAACACCAACAAAACAGUAACCUAACGACGCAUACAUGUAAAACAAAGUACACCUAGAGAAGUUAAAAUAUAAGCUUCUAACAUUGUAGGUUUUUUAUAUUACCAUUCCGAGUUUGUUCCGAUUUACCAAAUUUGAUAUUUAUGUAUAAGGUGCGCAAUUUUUGUAUAAAAAAAAACGUAAUCGUGUCUGUGUUAAAAAGUUGUCGGAAUGAAGAAUUACAGAGGAAUGCAUAUGAAAAAAAAAUCAAUUAAAAGGAGAUUUGAGAAAAGAGGUCGGACUAGGUUUUAUUCAUACUCACGGUAUGACAGCUGUAUGAGUAUACUUAGACUGAGUUUCUAGCAACAUUACAGAAUAUUUCGAUAUUCAUAGAUGCCUAAGGAUGAAUAAUCAAAACAGAAAUGAUAUUAAUUAGACCCCAUUAACACUUGCACGGAAUUGAAAUAAAAUCGAUCUCAGAAAUGAACGAUCUUUAUUGUUAGUAGAAACGGAGUCUUAGAUUUCUAAUGAUUUUAAGUAAUUAUCAUCAAAAUAAAAAAGGAACAACAUUUUUAAACGAAAUUAAAAUUCAUGAUAACCGAAGAAAAAUUCUGUCUUGUCUUUCAGAUAUACUUUGAUUGAACAAUGAUAUUAAAUAAAAAUGUCUUCACUAUUUUAAAAAGAAUUUCUGUUCAACACAUAAGCACUAUGAAUAACCUGAAAUGAAAUGUUCAUAGAAGCAUUCGUGUGUACAUAUGUACAACGCAUUGUUUUCCAACCACCGCAUUUAUAUUACGUGUCUGAUACUGACUGAAAACUAAGUACUAUCAUGUGUGGGUUGUCUCUAAUUUGUAAGAAUAUAGCCAAAACCGGUCGAACGUCUUUCGACGUUGUUUUUAGAAUUGGCGCAAUGUGUUCCCGCCAAUUCAAAAUUGUUAACCCCUUUUCAGAAAUAUCUCUUUUUCCAUUACGGUGACCCCAUAUUUUUAUUUCCUUAUUUUGUUUAGAUAUAAACAACGCAUAUUCUACUGAAGACUCAUGGAGAAAUUAUUAGUCAAUUUUUUUAAACUUAAUUUUUUUUAUAGGUAUUUCACAAUAAAAAAAGGCGGGAAAACUAUUAUAGCAACUUAUCAUUAUUAUUUUCCACUCAGAAAAUGGUGAUAUUAUUAAAAUAGUUUGUAUUAACAACUAGGUUAACAAAACAGACAAGUUUUUAUAGGAUACGGACUUUAAAAAAAAUAUUACACUGCUAUUGACUAGAAGUCCCAAUUUCCAAAUUCCGUGAAAAAGAUGGCGUUUUAAAUCGAAAACGAGGUCGGUGACCCCAUUUUUUUAUUUGCUUAUUUUAAAGCUUUUACCUAGCCUAAAGUAAAAAUAAAAUAAAAAAGAAGAAGAUAUUAUUGGUAGAUCUGAAUAGAAGGAUUUGUCUUUAAUCCAAUGCGACUGAAUACUAAUAUACAAACGACAUUGUGAAAGAAAAUGAAGAUAUUCUCAGAUAAUUAAUUUGAACCAUUUAUUCCCUGUAAACUGAAAUUUUACGUUCCUUACUAAUCAUCAGAAAAUCUGCUGGUGUCAUGCGACUUUUAUCAAGUUUUUAAUGAAAACUUUUGGUAGUGAAACCACUGCUAUAAAUGGGCAUUUUAAUUUAACAAAGACUUCAUUAGUAGUAAUUUUUAUUAUAACAAAUGUCCUAUACCUGCCAGACUCAGCAGGAAUUAAUUGUUUUACAUAACCGCCUACUGUAUUGAUAUGAUGAUGAAUAAUGGGGAACAUGGAAAAUCUCUCUCACCUUUAAUUCAAAAUGUUUGUGUUUCAAAUAUACAGAAAUCCGAUUGCUUGCUAAAAUUCGCUCUGAUUGCUUUUUGCUAAUUACUUAUAAAACCUGUCUCCCUUCUAAUCACGUUGGAUGACACUUUUUGUGAAUUAAUUAUUAUACGGGCAAAGUAUUCGUACAUUAUCAAUGCGACAUUCUGACCAUCGGAAAUAUUUUUCAAAAGGAAGUACAAAAAAUGUAUACUUAGCAAUUAUUAAUCCAAACCUCAUACAAAUAAAUAAAUAACGAUAGCGUUUGUAAUUUUCCUUUAGGAACUAAAUGGCACUAAGAAAACCAGUAAAUAUCUGUUGAUGCGAUGUCUCUAUACAAGACGCCUUGUUUAUACCAAUGAAUAACACAAAAUAUCAACAAAAAUGUAUAUAAGAAAAGCCCAUUAGUUAGGUUACUCAUAGCUUAACAUUAUGUAUGUGUGGCUUAAGUUAUAUUCGUUCUAUAUCGGGUUUUUGUCCUUUUGACACAUUCUCCAUUGUAAUUCUUAAUUUUAUGAUUUGUUGUUUUGUUAUCCAUGAUUAAAGUCAUAUUCAGUCCUAUCAGAUUGUAAGAUUAUAAGAUAAACUUGAUAAAAUGUGAAACAUAAGCAUUUUCUCAACAAAUCGUUUUUUAACAUCCACGAAGUAUAGUUUGAUACUGGAAAUUAUAUAGCAAACAGCUGAUGAGGGACUUUCCAAUUUGAACUUUCCUAAGAUUGUUAUAUUUUUCUUUUUUAAAAUUGAUUCUGUAUAUACGUCGUCUAUUUUCCAUGUAUGAUUUUAUUUGAGGCUCAAAUUUUCCGAAAUUAAGGUGAAUUGUUUAGAUCAGUAGGUUUGUUUUCACUUUGAAAUACAAAUCUGAAGUCAUUUGUAUUUUUGAAUACGCGUUACAAAUGAACGUUUACAUAUUUUGUUUUAAUACAUUAGCGGAUCCAGGGGGGGGGGGGGGGGGUUGUUCCGGGGAUUGGAACCCCCUUUUUUGCCGAUCAAUGCAUUUGAAUGGGAGCAUAUAGUUGGAUCCCCGCUUAACUUUGGGUUUGGACCCCUUUCUUCAAAUGGCUGGAUCCGCCCUUGUAAUACAUAUACAUAUUGUACAGUUAACUGUAAACUACUUAUUCAGAUAAAAGUGAAGAAUUGUGUUUUAUAUUUGUUUUAUAUGUGCCAUUAUAUCAUUACAAAUCCAAUUGUAAACACGCAUUUUACACCCAAAUGUGUAAUGAUAACCACCCCUCCUCAAAGUACGCAACUUUGGAUUAUGACUAUAGAACAGUGGUAUACUAGUGUUGCCUUUAUUAAAAGCAGCUUACUGAAAAAUUGAAGCCUGCCUACGCUAUCUAAUAAAAAAAAUAUUAUAAAAUCUUCACUACUCAUUCUUUGGUUUAAGCAUUCCUAUUUAUCGGUUGAAAUCAGUUCUCAGAAUAUACUAUCAUGAAAACUAUUUUCAUAAUUACAAUCAACACUGAUUCCAUAUACAUACUUAAGAACUUUCGAAAAACUACAUCAGUAAACCAACGAAGAGACAAAAGUAUAUUGCUCAAAUUUCAUUGAUCCAUUUUCGGAUGUUGUCUAAUGCUUAGUCCGUUGCUGUGUGUUACAUUUUAAUGUUGUGUCGUUGUUCUCCUCUAAUAUUUAAUGCGGUUCCCUCAGUUUUAGUUUGUUACCCCGAUUUUGUUUUUUGUCCAUAGAUUUAUGAGUUUUGAACAGGGUAUACUACUGUUGCCUUUAUUGAAAAUACAAAUCUCGGUAUAAAAAAACAAAAGAACCAUAAGAAUUGCAUAAACUCCUUAACACACGAGAUAAGGUGAUUGGAACCGAUAAGUAUUUCGUUCAUAACAUGCCAUACUCAGUCAAAAUGCCAAGAAACCAUUGCAAAUUGUUUUAUAAGAUAUGUAUAACAUAACUUCCGAAGAAAAAACUCUAUGCAAUUCAGACAUUCUAGAUUCUGUGGCAGGUUAAAUAUAUGAAAUCCAUGAAUUCCGGUUUAGCACUACUACCUUGCCAAACAUAGAUUACAGCAAGUCAAUGAGAUUUGAAAUCAAUCAAGACUUGACAAAGUCAUUUGAAGAAGUGUCCGUGCAAAUUUGCUUGUAAAUCGUUUUGAAAGUUAGCGGACAAUGCUAACAGUAUUAUAUAUGUAUCAGCAAACACUAUUUGUCGUAUGUUGUGGACAUGAUUUGAGACCUAUUUGGUAUUCAUGAUUUGUCUUUUCGUAACUGAUUUACGAGAUUGAACAUCAGUAAACUACUGUCGUCUUAAUUUCUCAUUUCUCAGGUUUAAUAUCGUAUAUACCACAGAAAAAUAUACAUGUCGAAAAAUGCGUACUCACAGCCGCUUAUCACCAAAAAGAAGCAUACGAUUUUCAACAGAUUUUAGAGUUUAUCACCUACAACAGUUCCAUUUCACUAUAUAUUAGCAUUGUAUUGUUAUCAAAUAGUUCAAGUUAGUCCACUGGAAACAGAUAGUACUUACCCUUCUUUUGCUUUCAUGUUUUCUUUUAGCUGGCUACCUGUAAUAAGAGUUAAACAAUUUUUAUGUCGACAUGUAUCUCAAUAGAUGUCAGAAAAUUGUAGGGCACUUCUUUCUGUGUUUUGUUUUUAUAAUAUCAACAUUUCCAAUAACAUUAGUCAAAAGCUUAUAUUUUUGAAACUUCAAAUGAAUUCAUUUCCUGUUUAACAUAACAGAUAUCUGUUCACAAAUUGCUUAAUAAAAUAUUUUAAAAAUCGAAAAGAUCGAAUAAGAUAUUAUAUUUGUUUCAUUUAAUUCAUGUAGAUUAUCCAUGCUGAUGCAUAUUUUACAAUCAAGCUACUCUAGAUUGUUUUUUUGAGUGUUUUUAACUUUGCAACAUGUAUGUGUGUGUUCGAGUAUGUGAACAUAAAAUAGCUGCUAAAAUUAGAUCAAUCAUCCGAGUCUGAGUACGAUAAAAUUCAAAAUGUUAUGACCACACGACCGGACAGUAGAAACACUUAAGUCUUUGAGUAAUUAAACGCCCAUCAGCAAUGGCAUCACUUUGUAAAGACGCGUUUCGUGUAUGCUAGCCUACUCAUCAGUGGCAUUCAAAUGUAACGGUUGGAAGGCCAAAAAAACCUCAAUGCAACCAGGAUGUUGAAAAACCUUAGUAUCUCGAGUAAUUCAUGCCUGGUCACCUACAAAUGAGCUAUGAACUAAACAGUAAUGUAAGGGAUUUGUUUUACUGUUAAAUCAAUUUAGAGUUAAAAAAAAAACCAAAAAACAUAGGGGUACCUUUUGGAAGAUGAUGUAUGUUAGAAAAUGUAUGUUCAAUGAUACUUAUUGAAUAUAUUUUGCCUAAUAAUACCGUUAGCGUUGGGGUUUGCUUUAUAACCUUUCACAGGAGUCAAAGAUAUGAUCGAUAAAGCAAAUCAUAACACAUAGCUUACCUUUCGAAUUGUAUAUACGUAUACGUAAGCAUAUAAAUGUAGAUGCAUCUUUUUUGUUUUCUUCAAUUUAAGUCAAGAACACAAAUUUAGACAUUCGAGAUACAAAAGCGAUAUCUCUUAUGCAAAGUUGAUUUAAAGCGAUAAUUGUAGAAAGUUGCAUUUAAAAAAAACACUCUUCAAAUAUGCUAAUAGUUUAAAACAAUUCCUGUGUGUAUCUUAGUCAGAUAUUUAAAAAAAAUCAUUCCAUCAUUUCUCGGAAAAUGCGUAGCAAGUUUGGAGUAUGACAGUUCUUUCCCUUUGUUUCGUAGCGUUAUGCGUUAGUUUAUGUAGUCGAGUAUUGUUGUUUUUCUGGUUUUAUGAAAAGUUGUUAUCUUAUAGUUCGUUUCUCUGUGUGGUGCAUUGUCGUUUUGGCUUUUUGUUGCACUUCAGUGCUUCUGCUGUUUCGUUGUUUUCCUCUUUAAGUUGAUGUGUUUACCUCAGUUUUAGUUUGUAACCCGGAUUUUGUUUUCUCUCCAUCGAUUUAUGACUCUCAACAGUGGUAUACUACUGUUGCCUUUAUUUAUGGACUUUUCCUUCUGAAUUUCACUUGGUUUUGUUUUGUUUAUGCCUCUUUUCCUUAUAUUGUGAAAUGCUUUUCCGAUUGUAAUUUUAUAGAUAAUUUUUUGUUCCUAAUUUUUUACCAGAUUAUAGUCUGACUUUUAUAAACUUGUGAACCAAGUUGCCUCUUUUCGUCUUAAAGCCUUUUUAAUUUUUUAAUUUAGAUUCAAUCCGCCUGGUGUGAUGAUAAGGACACAUUUUCAAAUAGAUUAUUAAAGUCUGGACUCAAACAGUUAUUUUUGUUCUUGUAACUUAUACAUCGUAACAACUGUCGUCUAGACCAUAGGAAUAUUACAAAUAAAGCACACCAAGGAAUGUUUGCAGGUUCCCUAUAUAAUGCUGGCUAAUUAUCAAGUUAGCAUGCAGAUAUGUUGAGUUCGGGUGCAACGUACACUUUCUAGUGCAAUUUCUUCUGACAGCGAUAAUUGUCAAUAUAGUUAGCCACAAAUAGACCCGAAUCAAUUUACCUACAGCAAAAUACGUUCGAAGCAGCAACUUUUUUUCAUUUUUUUCCAUUAAUCUAUUAAAUCUGGAUGAUUUGCUUACCUACUUUUAUAUAUAAAGUAUAACGAAUCUGUAAAUAACUGUCAUACUAGUGGCAGAUUUAGCGAGCUAUAAAGCCAGGUUUUACCCACAACUUUAUUCGGAAAAUGACUGUAUCAAGUCAGGAAUAUGGCAGUUGUUCUUCACUAGUUGAUCGAUAUAGUUGAUCGAUACAGUUGAUCGAUACAGUUUAUCGAUACAGUUGAUCGAUACAGUUUGAUUUUGUCAGUGUUUAAGGACUUCCCCUUUUUAUAUUUGCAUUGAAGUUUUAGCAUUUUUGUUCAGAAAAAUAUCAACGACGUAGAAGGACCACAAAAUACACAAAAAAUUGUGAAUAGAAUUCCUCUGACUUUUUCUUUACUUAAUGAAAAAGAAGACUAAUGUUAUUUUAUAUAAGGAAAGGAACAGCUGGAACUAUCGGCAUUAAAAAACUGCAGGAAUAUUACAAUUGAUGAACUGUUGAAAUUAACCAAUUCAUUAACUGACUAAAUGAACUUAUUCAUGAACUGUACGAAUUAAUCAAUUCAUGAACUGUUGGAACUAACCAUUUUAUUAACUGUACGAAUAAAUUAAUGCAUAAACUGAACCAAUUGAUUAAUUCAUGAAUAAAUCAAUUCAUUAACUGUACGAAUAAACUUAUUCAUAAUAACAUUAACGGUACUAAUUUUCCUGCCACCAGAUGCGCAUUUCGACAAUACAUGUCUCCUCAGUGAUGCUCGUGGCCAAAAUAUUUGAAAUCAAAAGCUUAUAUAAAAGAUGAAGAGCUAUAAUCCAAAAGGUCCAAAAAGUAUAGCCAAAUCCGUGAAAGGAAUCAGAGCUUUGCAUGAGGGAGAUACGUUCCUUAAUUUAUAAUAAUUUCUAACAUUUUGUAACAGCAAAUUUUAAUAACACAAAAAAUCCGUAUUUUCAUGUCAGUACCGAAGUACUGGCUACUGGGCAUAAACUUGUACGAUUUAAUCAAUUCAUGAACUGUUCGAAUUAAUCAAUUUAUGAACUGUUCGAAUUAAUCAAUUUAUGAAUUGUACGAAUAAACCAAUUCAUUAACUGUACGAAAAUACUAAUUCAUAAACUGUACGAAUUAAUCAUUUAAUAAAUUGUUGGAAUCAAUCAAUUCAUUAUCUGUACGAAUAAACUUAUUCAUAAACUGUACGAUUUAAUCAAUUCAUGAACUGUUUUCCGUUUUAAAAAGUUUUAUUGCAAAGGUUUGGUAAUACGGUUGUACUUUUUGUAAACUGACACUACAAUUUAUGUCCCUGGAUAAAAGAGAUCGAAGUUGACACAUAGUGUUCCUGAACAUCUAACUCACUGUACGUCUCAAGCUCGUUUGGUUCGCAUUUAAAUCUAACGUUAACCGUAUCAACUGAUUAUUCGCUCUAAACCUCUGAAUAACGUACAAAACAAAAAGAUAAGAGGGAAGACAUCACACACGUAAUCACAAUUAAAUAAUUAUAAAACACCAAACACAUAUAUGUAUUUGCUUUCUUAGAAGUUGGAACCUAAAUAAAUAUUCAUGUGACAAAAGUAGCAAUAACACAAAAAGAUGAAUCAUAGAUUUUUAUCAAAAGAUACGAUAUACAAUUGUAUACUAUGAAGUUGCAACACUUAAGUGCAUAACUAAAUUAAGACGUUAAUUUUAAAAAGUUUUUUACCAUACAAUUAAUAAAUCAUAUUCUUCAAAGAAAUUAUAUGAUGCUUUACUAUUAUGGGAUUUAUAUUUUUUGGGGUUUUACGAAUCAUUAAGUUUGAAAAUUGGUGUUAUGAAAUGUUUGAUACCUAUGAUUUUUUACCUAAAAAUAUUAUGGUUUUUUUUCUAAUCAUGAAUUAUGUUUAAUAUCGAAUUUUUCUUGAUAAGUAAAAUCCCUUAAAUAUGGGGCUUACAAAAAUAAGAGGAAGAUUGUUGCCAAUGAGACAACUCUUCACCGGAAACAAAAUAACAUAGACAUUAACAGCUUCAGAUCACUACACGGUCUUCAACAAUGAAAAAACGCAUAGUCAGCAAUAUUGGCCGUGUUUAAAUCGAUAUAUGGAACGGAAUGUAGUUUUUUUAAAGGGAAAUGCUCUGAAUUUACUAUCUUCUUGCUUUUUAGUAAAACCUAUAUUUAUUGUUUGUAAAAUAUUGAAUUAUUCUAAUAACUGAAUAAAGGCAACAGAAGUAUACCGGUGUUCAAAAGUCAUAAAUCGGUUGAUGAAAACAAAUACGGGUUACAAAUAAAAACCGAGGGAAACACAUCAACCGGAAAACUGGAAAAACAAAGGAACACCAGAAGCUCUGAAGUGAUACAAAAACAAACGCCAACAUAAAAACAAACUAUUUGAUAACAACUGAAAUUCCUGAAUUGGUACAGGACAUUUGAAGUGAACCUGGUUUUAUGACUCUCCAAACCUCCUAUUUAUGACAAUGUUGAAAAACAUCACUUCAAUGACAGCACAACUUGACAGAACGUACAGUACAAACCCAUGCAAUAUCAUUCAUUACAGAAAAUCGCACAAACAAAUAAUAUAAUAGUCGACACAACAUGCAAACCGCAGAACAACAACGAAUAUCUUCCAUCAACGACAAACACCACAGGAAAUUAUAAAUAGUGACGCACUUUAGUAACGAAAAUGCUUAAUUUAAACAAGUAAAAACUUAAACAGUUAAACAAUUAUCAUUUAUUACACUAGUAAUCCGCAAUUGGCCCUAUAUCUCGAAAUGAUUGGUGUUUAUUAUUGCUUUUCAACUUCGAAUGUGAUUUGGCCUUCUAACUGUUUUAAUUCGAGUGUUCUGUAGGAGUUAUUUGUAGAUGAAAUUCACGUGAAAAUUAAUAUUUUUUACCUUUCUUUUGCAACCAAGGUUUGUUAACUACAUUUAUUAUGAACAUAAACCUCGUACCUUAGGAGAUUUCAUCAAAAUUUAACCAAGGCUUUCCUACCUCAGGAAUAGAUUACCUUAGCUGUAUUUUGGCAAAACUUUUAGGAAAUAUUGGUCCUCAAUACUCUUCAACUGUGUACUCUAUUUGGCCUUUUAAACAUUUUUUAUUCGAGCGUCACUGAUGAGUCUUAUUUAGACGAAACGCGCGUCUGGUGUAAAUAUCAAACUUUGAUCCUGGUAUCUAUGAUGAGUUUAUUUGCAACCACUGGGUCGAUGCCACUGCAGGUGGAGAUUUAUUUCCCCGAGGGUAUCACCAGCCCAGUAGUCAUCACUUCUGUGUUGACUUGAGUUAUCAUUGAUAUGUUCAUAAUUAUAAAUUAACUGUUAACAAAACAUUGAAUUUUUGAAAAACUAAGGUUUUUCUACCUCAGGAAUAGAUUACCUGAGCUGUAUUUUGGCAAAACUUUUAGGAAUUUUUGGUCCUAAAUGCUGUUCAACUUUGUACUCUAUUUGGCCUUUUAAAAUGUUUUAUUCGAGCGUCACUGAUGAGUCUUUUUUAGGCGAAACGCGCGUCUGGCGUGAAUAUAAAAUUUUGAUCCUGAUAUCUAUGAUGAGUUUAUUUGUUAUGAUAUAACUCAUAUUAAAUCAAACUGGCUGUUGAGAGUUAUUCAAUAUUAAGUUUUCAAAUAGAAGUUUUGUGACUUUUUGUUUUUGUUUUUGCUAUUGAUUUCUUCCACCCUUCUGGAACCAACUCUGAUUUUCUUUGCCCAUGUUCUUUUUUUUUUCUGUUCAAGCAAAGUCAGCAUAAACUGUUUAAGAUGAUGUAAACAUUUGUAUCUUAAGAAAUAGUAAAAAAUAUAUAUCACAAUUGAUUUAGGUUUUCAGCAAUAGCAUUCAUUAUGAGUUAUGUAUUAUUCAAUUUGUAUGAAACAUGUGUCAUUGUUCGCUUAACUUGAUAUCUUCAUCAACACUUAAGUGAAAAGCUUUUUUUUCAGCUAACCACAAGAAGUGAUUUUUGACUGAUGCGAAAAAUAAUUUAACGCCUAUAUGCUCACCUUUGCUCUUCAAAGGGUGGAAAAUUAAUAUUUUAUUUCGCGGUCUACCAGAAUAUUAUUCUGUGGUUUCUUUCGUUUGAUAAUUAUGAAAGCAAUACAAAAUUGAUAGCCCGAUGCUAUUACAAUUUAACCAGAAUUAAACGAGAAAGACAAAUGUUAAAAUAAUUGAAAUUAUGUUAUGUGCUCUCAAGUAGCAGUGAUACCAAUGUUUGGGAAUUAACAUUUAGUAACAAAUGUCACUUCAACUAAUAAUCCUAAGAUUUCAAUUUUAUAUAGUUUUGCAUGCUUAUUCUGCCAUUGAUUGUGUGAUUUGCAAGUAACUUUUAUAUCCAAUUGCGGAUGAAAGAUUCCUACAGGUAAAAUGUAAUAAAAGUAAAGUUUUCGAAAAAUACAAUUGUCUACAAAACAAAUGACACAAUCUCUAUAAAAAUCAUCAGUUUAAAUAAAAUUUAACAUUGAGUAUGCGCAGAUCCGACAGCAAUGAAACAAACCCAAUAAAACGACAUCGAUUCCCUUGUACACCUUACAUAUAUAAAAGGAAAUUUGAUUUUGCGUUGACAAGUUUUUCUAUAUAAGUUCUCAUAUUGAAUGUUCUGUUCCCUUUCAUUGACUUCUCCGUUUGGGUUGUACAGGUCUCAAAUAGUUCGAUGUGUGUGCGUUUGCAGUGACGUCUAAUAUUUCAAUCGUUGUUUAAUUUCUACUUCUGAUAAAUAACAAGGAAAUCAAGGUCAUAACCUAGUGUAACCUGCUACUAUAUUUUUCUUUAUUAUAACGAUUCAUUAUAAAAGCUUUUUCCCCUUGCGGGAAUUUUAUAUUUAAAUUAUUUCACUUUAUUAUUAUUUAAACAUAAAGACAAAAAAUAUGAUUGCCGAUGAGAAAAUAUCAUUUAACAUCAAAUAAAAUAUAUGUGAACGUUUAUAAGUCACCGUACGAUCUUUCACAAAGAGAAAGAGUCAUUCGAUAUUGUUAUCUAUCAUUUCAAAAUGGAAAACCAACUUCCAGAUAUAUUCUACAAUAAUUCAUUUAUGAUUUGUAUUGUAAUUUUAUUUAUAACGCAGGCAAAUUGUACGAUUAUCCCUCAAAUCAUUCCUUUCGUUAAUAAAUCAACCUAUAUAUAAAGGCUGCCCAUUUAUUGUUAAAAAUCUAAUCAGUGAUUUUCUAAAACUCCCCCGCAUCCUUUUAAUUAGACUUUGUUGGAAUUUCAUGCUACAAUAUUUGGUUUUGAUAUUACUUUUAAAUAUAAGGAGAUGCUGUUUGCACGUAACAAAGUCAGUACCCAAACGACACAAAAAAAACCCAAACUGAACUCUUUGAAGUCAACAUAAAAUCUUCAAAAUCAAAACAAUGGUAUAUACAGUUUGUGAAGCUAUAUUUGGACCCGACGAUGUUCGUCACUUUAGACAGACAGGUUUCUGAUUAAACAAGUAUUUUACGCAUUCAGUCAACAAAACACACGUAUAGGAAACAAUAAUGAAUUUGUGCUGACUAUAUCAGAAAUACACAGAUACAAGGAAAAAAGUGGUGAAAAAAUAUAGGUACAGGGGCAUCAAUACUGGAUAAUGCCAUCUACGUUCAGAAAAACACAACAAAGGUAAAUAGAAAACAAUGUUGGAUAACACUCUUUGCACAAAAAGAAGCAAGAUGUGUAUCAUCAUUUACUAAGAAGUGUUGUUUUGGUUCUGAAUUGAGGAUGCGUUGGUUCUUAAUGAUGACAUUAACGUGUCCAAUCUGCAGUUUAUUCCAUUUUGGGCUUAAAUACGGUAUGAAUAUAUACACCAUCUAAAACUGUGUCCUUUGUCACUAUAUGACUAUAAGAUUAUAUGAAGUAAAAGGAUUAUGUAAUAAGAAGAACAAACUAAAUAAUACUAUAUUUGUUUUUCGUGGUUUUUUUUUAAAUGUGGUAUUUGUGUGAUACAAACCAAGGUAACACAAAAGUACAGAGCAUCAUUAAGUUUUGAUGUUACUGCAAUAUUAAAGUGAGUGUGAUUGAAGGUUUUAAAGUAGAUCUUUAGAAUGUUGUCAAAACUGGAGAGUUUCAACGUUCUUUUUAAUAGAAAGGAGAGAAGGGCGGAUUUGGGAUUUACUACAUUCUUCUCUUUCGUCUAUGAUGUAGGGGUAAAUCUGGAAUUUCCACUUUUAGCUGUGAAUUCCAAGUUUGAUAUCUAUACGUUCUAAAUAUUGAUUUUUGACUGUACAAUUGAUUACGAAUAUGGCAUCCACAACAUCGGACUUAUUCAAAUCGUAAGAAACCAUUGUGUUCAUUAUAUAACGUAGAUUUUGACUGAACUUUUGAAUGCACGCCUGAGCAGCCUCAAUAUAUGCCAUACAAAUAAAAAAAAAAUCCAGUUUUGAUUCAUCUGUCUAGGAUUUUACUGAUUUCCUACUAUCAUUUCAGCAGUGUGCGAUGUGGUUUACGAUCAACUUCAAAAAAUUAGAUGGCCUUUAAACUUCAAAAAAUUAGAGUAUGUUUUUUCUACAUUGAUAAGGAUUCCUGAGAUCACCCCCAAUUUUUAGUAGGGUUCGUGUUUCUCAGUCUUUCGUUUUCUAUGAUCUGUCUUGUAUACUCUUAUUUGUCUAUUUGUCUUUUUCUUUAUUAGCCAUGGCGUUGUCAGUUUAUUUUCGAAUUGUCAAAUGAACAUAUUAGUGCAUAAAAUCUAUUUUUUAUGACAUAGGUGACGAUUUCAGUUUCCCAUUGUUAACUUGCCUUUAGCAGUAGUAACAUGCUACUAGUAUCAUUACAAAGACAUUCCACAACUCAAUUGAUGCAGAUAAGAGAGUGUUCACGUUUUGUAAAAAAAAAAAAAAUUAGAUACACAACAACCGAUACAACAGGGAUAUAAGGAAAAACGACACAAAUUAACUUCAAAUCAGUUUCACGGACACUGUCACAAUUAGAUAACCGAUCUGAUGUGUACAGUUUUUAAUUCAUGAGAUAUUCCCUUUCCCGAGAUUGGAUCGUAUGGUACCAUGAUAGUCAUCUGAACUUUAUCUAAACAGCUGAUUGUAUCCUGCUCUUUUUUGUGACAUUUUUCUGAGUCUACAAUCUGCAUGGUAGAUUACGCAAGACGCUUAUCCUUUCCAUGCAACAAGUCUUGAUCCUUUUGGAGUAAAUAUGAUUUUAUUUAGUUUUUAAUUAGCAUCACGACAUCAAACAUCAUAAGACUACUUUCUCCUCUUGUUGGAACUAUCACCUGAAUAUCUUUUUUCAUUUUACGUAGCCAAACAGUAUCAAAUACUCACAACCAUUAAAACAAGAUCAAUGUAACUACCCAAAGUGAAGUUUUAUAACGAAAAAGUGAAAGUAUAAUUCGGUGUAAAUUGUACAUCUUCACCAACUUCGCUAUUAUAAAUCAAAAUCAGCGAAUAAGUAAAACCGAUCGGUAAUUAAAGCCAUAAGCCGGAUCACAAAAACAUAAUUAUUUAAUGAAAGAGCCAAUUUAUCAAAAAGAAAAAGAAUGAAAUAUAUUUAAAGUCAACCAAUGACAAAGUUACGAAUUAUGGACUUGAAAACCAAAAGUAGAUUUUUUGUAAUCAAUCCUGCAUAUUUUAUUUUAAUUUGGUCCAUGCAAUGGCAAUUAAUACAUUGUUAACACACACAUAUAGUCAGUAAAAAAGUUUAAUAUCGACAUUUGUACCCCAAAGUUGAAAAUAUAUUGAACAAAUCAACGUUUUUCUCGUUUAAGAAAAACAAGAGCUGAUAUGUGCAAUUGCCAUAAGUAAAAGAUUGUACAAAAAUCCAAUACAUAUAAAACAACUAGAUAUCUUAGUGCUGCAUUAACAUGUAAACGAACAUAUCGGUAUGUCUUGUAUAUCAAGAAAAAGAUAUACAAUAGGUUACGACUGCACACCAACAGAAAAGCUUGUCUACAAAGAUUCUUACGUCUCAACAGAAAUAGACGAAAUCUGACCAUGACUUUUAUAUAAAAUCCGGAAAAAUUGUCACUUGACACAACAUAAAAUAAAGAACUUUAAAAGUUAAAAAAAAACCAUCAAAGGCUGGGGUUGAUCACAUAUACUCUAGAAGGAUGAAAAGAUACUGCUCCAUACGUGAGGAAAGCUCAUUUAAAGUUUUGUACAUAUAAUAAAUUAAAAAUGGAAAUGGUGAAUGUGUCAAAGAGACAACAACCUGACCAAAGUGCAGACAAUAGCCGAAGGCCAUCAAUGGGUCUUUAAUGAAGUGAGAAACUCCCGUACCCGGAGGCGUGCAUUUUAAUUUCUUUUUUAAUGCCACACCUACGAAAGUCAUUUAAAGUUUCGUACAAAUAAUGAAUUAAAAAUGGAAAUGGGGAAUGUGUCAAAGAGACAACAACCUGACCAAAGAGCAGACAAUAGCCGAUGGCCAGCAAUGGGUCUUUAAUGCAGUGAACUCCCGUACCCGGAGGCGUGCAUUUUGAUUUCUUUUUUUGCCCCAACUACGAUAGUAGAGGGGCAUUAUGUUUUCUGGUCUUUGCGUCUGUUUGUUCAUCCGUUGGCAAGGUAGUUUGUGAUUAAGUUGAAGUUCGAAACUUAGUACACAUGUUCCUUAUCAUAUGAUCUUUCUAAUUUUAAAGCGAAAUAAGAGAUUUUUUCCUUAUUUCACGGUCCACUGAACAUAGUAAAUGAUAGUGUACUAUGGGAACAUUCUUUUUAAUAAGUGAAAUAAGAAUUAGGUCUCCAUCUUCUUUUCCCUCAUUUUUAAAAGGAAAGGAGACGUUUUGACAACUAUCAUUGGUCCAAUAUUUUGUUGUAUGCUUGUGUGAUGUGUUUUCAUUUUAUCGUUUACCCCUUUACAUAAACAGAUUGAAUUUGCAAAAAAAUAGAAUUAUUAAAAAUGUCAUACUGUUUGUUCAGAAUUAGCAUAAAAUAGAACUUGAAUAUAAAUAUCGACAAACCACUAUUGCCCCUAUCAAUAAAUGAACAGCUGUCAAGAAUGAGAUGUUCUAUAGUCUAAUUUAUAUCAUAUAGAAAUCGAAAUAUUUGGUUGCUAUAUUCCACUUAAUGAAGUGUGGGUAAAAACUGCUUUUCUUGGUUUUAAAUAUAUUUGCGGUGUCAUCUAAAGAAAUAAUUUUCAGCUUUAUCUUGCGUCAAUUCCAUGAAUUUAAAGUAAAACAAAAUAAGACAAGUAUGAUAUCAUUUAUUAUGUUGCUUUAAAUGAAUUAAUUUGAUUUUAAAACUAUAACCAACGUGCUAAUUUAGCAUUAAGAGGUAUAGAUAUAAGUACUUAAAAGUGGCCAUUUUUCGUUUACUGUCUAAUUUUUUUUUAUUGUCACCACAGAGGUGACAGAAGCAAUACCACGUUAUGUGUGAUGCAUCUCGAUAUUCUGUGUAUUAAUGCGUCCAAAUCAUUUCCUCUGCAUGUGCACGUUUAGUUCCCGAGAGUAUCGAUACUUUGCUGUCUUCUAAUUUUGUACCUUUAUUAAUAUUGAUUCAUUUUUAAAUAUCUUAAUAGUCACAGUUCACAUGUGUUUUAAAACGAUAUAAGUAAGCAAAAGAUAAGAUAAACAAAAAUACAAAAAAUUCAAAUCGUAAAUUCUCUUAUAAAAUGCCUAAUCAAAAGCUCAAUCACAUCAAACGGCUGGGAAACAACUGUAAUAUUCCCGAGUUGGCACAGGCAUUCCUAAAGUAGAACUGGCGGAUUAAACCUUUUGUGUUACAAUCUUAACCACUAUUAAACAAACAUUUAGCGCACUAACAAAAAAGAAAGACAAGCAAAACAAAACAAAACAAUGACCACGGCACAAAACACACCGGUGGGACGAGCAAGCACCGAGCAACGCCAAAAGAACACUACCAAAUUGCAUUAAGCAGUAAAGGUAAUUAAUUUACAAAGAAAAAACAGGAACGCAAAAACACUUAAUUUUUAUUUAUUUAUUUUCAUGGGUACCAUUUUUUGUGGAUUAAAGAUAACUUAUUUAAUCUCGUUGUUUUGACAAAGUCUGCAUAUAUUCUUUUCGAAAAGUUGUAAUUUGUUGAACAUUUAAAUUCUUGGUUUCCUAGUACACAAGAAAUCCUAUAAAAUUGGUAUCCGACGAUUAAUAAUGAAUCCACAGUAAUUAAGAAAAUAAACAACAUCAGUACCUAGAAGAAAUGUAGUGGAGCUAAGAUAUAUAAUACAAACAAGGUAAAUCCUCAGAUUUGCUUUUCAAUGCAAUGCUUAUUGAAGCCAUAAAGAAUUUCUCAGCCUUAAAUUUGUUGGUAUUUGGGAUUAUCUGACUGCUCAUUUAUUCCUAAUUCUUUUAUUAAACAAUCGCAGUAGUACGUUUACUUACAUGGACAAUAUUAUUUGAAGCUUUGUCAAUAGAAAACCUAAUAUUGUAUAAACAAUCGGGUUAUAAGUUAUCAAAGCAAUAAAUGGAUAACAUAACCCAAACACGAAACAGUCAUAGAUAUCAACACUAUGUUUUCAGGUGAAGAACCUCUCAUCCGAGAGGACAUCAUCAGCCCAAAAAUCAGUGCUCGCAACGUGCGUCUGGCUUAUUGAAUUAUAUUGAAAGAUAUCGUCGAUGACUUUUCGCCCCGGAGGGUACUGUUAGACCAGUAGUCAGUGCUCCUGUAUUGACCUGAUAUAUCAUUUAUAAGAUUUUUUCAUGAACAUUUACUGUUAUUAAGAUGUAGAAAUCAAUCAAACACUUAAAAUAGUCGUUUCUACCCAGACAUAUAUGGCAUCAUACAAAAUGGGAACUAUAUUUUAGGAUUGUUCAUGCACUUUAAAUUCAUCUUAGUUACCAUUCAAACUGUGUAGAUUUGAAUGUUGCUGAUGAAUAUCAUAAAGAUGAAACGUGCGUCUGCCAUAUCGUAUUAUAAUCAUGGUAUCUUUGAUGAAAUUUUACACCUAAUGUGUCUUGUAAAGACUGGUAGACAUUUCCUGUCCCUCAAAUUCAGGUUUUUGUCCUUUCACCUUUCUUGAUUCAAACCCAACGAAUGAUUUUUGUGUAUCAAAUUAUGAGCCAGCUAUCAAGGAUCAGACUUUUAACAGUUGUCUUUAUUAAUAUAAAAUUGACUUAUACAACAAAAACCAGAGUGAACAAUUUUAACACCGAUUAAUAGAGACUGCAAACAUUUCCAUUCUCUAUUUCCUCUUUGUGAAGCAUAGUCAAUAUUGAUGCGUAAGAAAAUGGAAUGAAGCUAAGAGUUAAGAGCUAUAUAGGUUAUACCACUGCAUCGAAUUUGAUACAAUAUAUAUCCACUCGAGAAGUUCAAAAUUACAAAUUUGAAACGAGUGGCUCGCCGAGUAUAGCGGAUUGCACGAUAUUUUCGUGGUGGAAUCUGUUCUCUAAUGCUUUUCAUGAUAUGUAGACAAUCUUAAUCCUUCUUUUCAAACAACUUUCAGAAAGAUGUGUUCUUUCUAUGUGACGUCAUCAGAUAUGAUUGCAUUUUUUCAUGAUGUCACAAUUGGGAUUUCAGAGGAAAGCAAGAAAGUUUGAUGUACGUAGCAAAUUUUGACCAAUGAAGAACUGAGGUCAAACGAACCCCACGUUAAUUAGAUAAAAACAAUCGACAGGUCAGAUAGAGGAUAAAUCAAGUAAGAAUUAGAGAAUUAUCUUAACAGCACUCAAAGUAAUAUUUAAGCAUAUGGAUAACUUAGGGAUAGUACGAAGAUUCAUUAAGGGUGUUGAAGAAACAAAAGCAGAAGAAAUUGUCUGCGAAUAUCUUGGUCUAAAGGAGAUGAAAAGUUAUAUAGUAAUACAUUGUCAGUACAGGAAAUGGUGACGACAAUGGCAAAAAUAUCCUCAUGCGAAAGUAAGGCAACAAACAAGUUUGAUAUGUGGCUAGCUUUUAACAGGAAGUUUCCCUUUUAAGAACUCAUGAAUUUAAAAAUAUUCCACAAUUUAAUCUACUUACUUUUUUCAUUGGCGUCAAUCAACAAACCCUGCCCUUGUGCAUAUACUUUGCAGGUUAUUCUGUCUGUCCCUGGAAAAUAAACACACGUAAUAACGAUGGGUUCAUUAUCAUUAUGGUAGUUAUUUGUAUAAACACUUCUCAAUGUUAUGGCCUUCUGCUCCAUCCUAAAUAACAACAGGAGUUGGAAUUUGAAGGUAUAAUAACACUUUAUGUUUUACUUCUAUUUUUUAAAAACUUUACAGUAAACAAUAACAUAACUUUUGUUAAAGUUUAUACGCAAAUGUAUCUACGGAAAGUACAAUACUACAAUGAAAGUUCAGGUGAUGUUAAAGUGCGCUUAGUCUAAUUUUGUUCUCUUAACUUACCAUAAUACACAUAUUUUUAUGCAAUCAUUAAAUGUUCAUAUUCUCUUAUGUUCUAGUGCAGACUUUACAUCACUCUUUGGGCAAAGAAUUUGACUGCAAUCAUAAACUAAGAAAAAAGUUUUACUUUUAUUAAAAAUCAGAGCCUAGUAGAAACACUGAAAACUGAUAAAACUGAUAUAAUUGAGAAGAAGAAGAAUUUAUCCAAACCCGUUUAAAUGAUAUUUUUAAAAGUUUUAAGUGUUGAUGUCAAAUCAUGAAAGUUCUUCUCAAAUACUUACAAUUAUUAUAAACACCGAACUCAGAGGAAAAUUCAAAACGGAAAGUCCGUAAUCAAACGACAAAUCAAAAGCUUCAACACACUCUUGAUGACGUGAAGUAUUUGUUGAUACUAGAGGCAUCACACAACAAAAUUUCCAAACUACUAGAAUAGUAGACUUGUCUUACAAUAAGAUUAAGGAAAUGACAGAUUUGACACCACACUACUAUUAAAUGACUGUACAUGCAUUUUCGUAUGUAGAAAAUGGGGAUUAAACCUGGUUUAAAAGACGCAUAAAACUCCAUUAUAUUGACAACGAUGUGUGAACAAAACAAACAGACAGAAUAGGUUAAAAUAUCAAAAAUAGGGGUACAGCAGUCAACAUUGUAUUAUAAUCUUAAUCCCUAUAAGACAAACAUAUAUGUAACAAAAAAGCACAAAAAUCCAUAAAGACAAAUCCCAUUAGCAAAACAAAAUCCAUAGCACAAUAACACAAUAACGGGAUGUAUAAGAACGGAGCCACAUCAUAUGUAUCAACUUUUCUACAAUUGGGACAAUUGGCUACUUGUCGUAAAAAGUUUGAACACUGAUUAUUGUUCUUUUUUUCUUGUUUUCUUUAUGUAAUAUAUAUCUUAAAAUAUUCAAUGUAUUCGUGCUAUUUAUAUGUGUCUUUGAUACAUAGUUUAUCAAACUGAAUUAUAUAUCAUACAUUUCUUAACAAUACUGAUUAUGUUGGAAUAAAAUUAACAACAAAGAAAGUAUUCUAAAGAACAUUAAAUCAGCAAAUAUGCAAGACUUUAACAUAAAAUAUGCCAGCAUUGCCCUUUGUAGGGCAGUUGGUUCAAAUAUAAAACAAGAAACUUAAUUUUUUUUUUUAUAUUUCAAAGAAUCUAAACCACAAACCAUACCAAAUGAAAAAUAUUUCAUUUUGUAUUAUUUUAAUGAGCACCGAAGACUUAUAGUUAAGUAUAUACACACCAAUUAAUACACUAAUUUUCCGACCAUUGUUAAAAAAAGAACCUCGGUUCAUUUGACUUAGAUUUAUUUUUUAAAUUUUUGGUGUUUUAACGCUUCUUUUAAACACUUCUUUUUGGCUUUUUCGUGGCGGCAAGUUUCUAUUUGCGGAGGAAGCCGGAAUGGCCGGAGAAAUCCAUCGACCUUCAAUAGGAAAACUGACAAUCCUAGUCAAUUUAGAUAUGGAAUCGAGUGCACUACUUGCACGAGUGGGGUUCAAACUCACAACCUCAGUGUUGAAUGGCUAGUGAUUACAGUAGUACCUACUUAAACCACCUGAUCACUGACCACAGAACUGCAUAGACUCAUUACAGAGUUAGAUGAGUAAGACAACAACGUUAUUAAUACAUAGCCAAGAAUCACCAUGAUGGGAUCCUGACAUGUACAGAUGUAGUUGCCAAAAUAAGACAGAUUAAGAAACCGUUGAUGUAGUCUACAUUAUUUUUUUUUGGCAGAGGGGUUACAUUGACAGAACAAGAUAAAAAGGUCGUUGUAGAAAUUGGUUUUCUAUCAUAUUUUGGAAAUAUUUCUUCAGUCUACAAAGCUAAAGAAUCACGACUUGUAUCAUUAACGAUUAAGUUGAAAUGUUUCCACUAGGAGUUAUAUCUCUGAUUCAAAAGAUGAUAAAGGGUAACCGAUGAAUGUACAUAGAACUAAAUGAAAAAAAUUCGAUGACCUCAUUUAAUCGCUGGUAACUUCCCUUUUCUGUGAAAAUUUCCAGCGUGUGUCUUUAACAUUUUAUAGACAGUUUAAAAUGUUGGUUCCAGCUGAAGCACACCUAUAGGUGUGGGAUUCUCACCUAUUUAUGCUAUUCUCGCUUUGAUUUGAAUAUAAGAAUCACUAUUGGAUAAAACUAGUUGUGGGCCUUGUUAUAAGGCCAAUAUGACUAUGAAGAGAACACUUUAAGGCGACAUCUCUCAACAAAUCUGUAAUCUUAUUCGUUAAAAAAUAUAUAAAAAAAUUUGUUCAGUCGUGCAAAUACAGUGACCGAUAAUGCAUUAUUUGAUUAUCAACAAUUUAUGUACUUGAUAUUACAUGUACUUUAAUGCAUUCCAUUUAUCUGAAUUAAACGAGUUUUUUGUAAGGAUUCAUUUUGAUUUUUGAAGCUAUAUCGGUUUCUUUAAUUGGUCGACAUAACAGCACAAAACGCUUUUUCAUGAUUAUUGUCUUCCAAGAUGCAACAAGGAGUUGUACUUCUUCAUGACAAUAUGUUAUAAUAUAAUAACGUUUUGAAGUAUAAUCUGUAUAUUUUUCUAUGUCUACUUUAUAAAUUGUUCAAGUCAUAUCGUUAGAAGAAAUGAAACAAGUGAUCAUAUUACAAUAAAACCAGCACUUCUGUGCUGACAUGAAUUAUCAUUGAUAUGGUCAUAAUUAUAAAUUAACUGUUUACAAAACUUUGAAUUUUUGAAACACUAAGGUUUUUCUACCUCAAGCAUAGAUUACCUUAGCUGUAUUUAGCAAAACUUUUACGAAUUUUUGGUUCUCACUGCUCUGCAACUUCGUACUUUAUUUGGCCUUGUUAUCAUUGGUUUAUUCGAGCUUGACUGAUGAGUCUUUUUAAGUCGAAACGCGAGUCUGGCGUUAUAUAAAAUUUCAGUCCUUGUACAUAUGAUGAAUUUAUUUAUAUCAAUACAAAUCAUUACUGUUUUAUGAUUAUUUUCAUAAUCCUUAAAAGUUAUACUUACUACUAAUAUCCAUAAAUGAAAAUCCUACUUUUUAAUUCAUAGUAGGUGUAUAUGCUAAACUUUAUUGUUUUUGUACCCGGCCACUAUUUUAUAUCUGUAAUUCAUAUGGUAUUCCUCUAGUGCUGGUUAUUUGUUUUUUUUUUUUCAAUCGAUGACUAGAGUUAUACAUUUGAUUUCACCAAUAGAUGUUUUGUCGAUCAUUGUGAGAUGAACACGGUUUGAAAUAAGAAUCAAAUGAUAGCAUUUCACCUACUUCGUGUACACAAAGUAGUAAAUAAAGGCAACAUUAGUAUACUGCUGUUCAAAAGUCACAAAUCGAUUGAGAGAAAAAAAAUCCGCGUAACAUGGAGUUCGAUAUUGUGGUUAUUUUUAUUUUUUUUUUAAAUAAAAGCAACAGUAGUAUACCGCUGUUCAAAAGUUAUAAAUUAUUUGAGAGAAAACAAAUCCGGGUAACAAACUAAAACCGAGGGAAACCCAUCAAUUUUAAGAGGAAACCAACAAAACAACAGAACACAAAAGCGCAACAAACAGCAACGACAAUACGAUUUAUAUAGAAACAAACUAUUAGAUAACAACUGCCAUUUUCUUGACUUGGCGCUGAACGUUAGUAAGUGUCAUUCAAUACUGUAAACCAACUUAUUUUCGCGGAUACUUAUUUCGCGUUUAACUCUUCCUAGUCCACUUUGCGUCGAUUUAAUUUCGCAAUUUUCUUAUCUAGUCGAUAUAAUUACAUAAGGAUAGAUCCAAGAUCUACAUAUUCGCGACGAUUUAUAUUUGCGUUAUUUUUCUACUCGCGAAAGUCGCGAAAUUCAAUCGCUCGUAAAAAUUAGUUGGUUUACAGUAUCUAAGUAUUGCUUAGAAAACAAGAAUACCUAUACAAAGAUUAUUUCACCAAUUUGACAAAGGACUAGGCUCAGUAAGACCCCUUGUUGGCCCCAAAAUAUAGCAGUUUUACAAAAUUGUUAAAAUGUGAAAUUUAAGCAAGUUAUUGGAAAGUCGAAUACUUCUGCUACAUAAAUAUGGGCUAUUUUUCACAAUACAAUGGACAUACAUCGGGUACUAGCAUCUUAAAAUCAUGCUGAAUUACUGGAAUCUUCAUAAUUUUAGCAUUUGAGUUAGAUUUUAGACGGUUUCCGUAUUAAAUGGAUGUGGCCAUAAUACAUAACAUAUAUAAAGGUUGAGAGUAAACAAGGUACGACCACUUCCAAUUUUGACCAAUAAACAUCUGAAAAUUGACAUAUUAUGACAUUUGUGAUUGAUUUUUCAUAUUUCAGCAGCUAGCAUUUGAGCGUCUUAAAUUACUUAAUUAUUUCAAAUCUUUAACAUAAAAUAAUUGAUUUGACUGAAAUAGACACUUACGUGUUUAAAAAGUGUCCAAAAUAUUUCAUCGGACGAACAUGAAAUUUGAGGCCAAAAUAGGCUCUUACCGGACCUACUCCUUUCUGAUAAUCUAUAGAAAUAAUCGGAUGAGAUGCCUAUAACUAUAAGUGGCAAGAUAUGAAAAGUUUUAAACACAACACGUAAUAAGUAAAUUUGUAUUACAGUGACAUGUGAAAUAACAGUUUGACAAAAUACAAAAUGUUGCAAAAACAAUAGAAUACACCGGACCCAUUUAAUCUAUAAAUUAAGGCAACGGUGGGAUACCGCUGUUCAAAAGUCAUAAUUCGAUUUAGCAAAACAAAUCCGGUUAACAAACUUAAACCGAGGGAAACACAUCAACUAUAAAAAGAAAACAACGGAACAACAGAAAUACUUAACUACAACAAAAGCAAACAUCAACACACAUAGAAACGGACUGCUUUGCUCAUUGCUGAAGGCCGUACGGUGACUUAUAGUUGUUAAUGUCUGUGUCAUUUUGGUCUUUUGUGGAUAGUUGUCUCAUUGGCAAUCAUACCACAUCUUCUUUUUUAAAUGUUGACAACAACUAGCAUAUUCACAAAGUAAUAAGUCACAUCUUAAAAUCAUAAAACGCAUUUUAUUAGUAAAAAUAUUUGAAAUGAUUGCAAAACCCAGUCAACAUGUCAUAAACCUUAGUGUGCCAUGUAUUUUUUAAAGAAAAAAUCAAAGAACGGUUAUAUUGAAUAGGAUAGAGUUGUCCAGGUUUUCUUCUGAGAUUAUAUUGUGUUUUUAGAAGCAAAAAAUAUAUCAAUGUAUUUGUAAACUUUAAAAAAAAAAUGAAUCAGUUGGAGGAAAUGAAGGAAAAUAAUUCCAAAUUAUUUUUGUUAUUCUUUCUCGCUAUUUUACAAUUUGGAAAGAAAUGCAAUAUUUGCAGUUAGUCAGUUUAGUUGUGUCCUCGUGAAUUGAAUAUUAAAUUAAAAAAAAAAGUCUCUUCUCCGCCAUUUCUUAUCAAUUAUUAAGUAAAACUAAUACACAAUUGUUGGAGAAUAAGUUUAUAACAUAUACGGUAUCAAUUUUCCCUGCACCAGAUUCGCAUUUUGAUAAUCAUUUUUAUUUCAGUGAUGCUCGAGGCCUUAAUAUUCAUAACUUACUUUGUAGCUUACUAAAAGAUGAAGAGCUACGAAAACAUUUAAAGCCAAAGCCUUAAAAAUUACAAUCACAAAAAUACUCCGAGAAAAAUUCAAAACGGAAAGUCCCUAUCGAAUGGCAAAAAUAGAUACGUUUACAACUAACUAAUUUUGAUAUCUCAUAUGGUGACAGCAAUGUUGCUAAGCUAAAUGGUCAGUAGAAUUAUUUUUAUUAAACUUAGUAAGAGAGUUAUGCUUCUCGAGUUGACGACGGACGAUUCAUUUUGUGCUUGGAUACUAACAAGAUUUUCACAUUAAUCCAUUUUAGAGAAUUUCAGAUAUCCCUUAUAACAUGUUGUUUCGAACACAACGCACAGUCUCUUAUUUUGAAAAUUUUGAUGUAUCUGAUUUGGAGUAUGAGAUUUUGCUUGUGAAGCAUCGUUUCUCUGUAACUAUAAAGUUCUGUCAAAAAGAUGUUUGCUCCACAAAAACAAAACGUGAUUCAACCCACUAUUUUGGUAUGAAUAUCUAUACAAAUAAACAGUCCAGUUACACAUCAGACAAAAGUGGGUGUGAAAACAAUCAUUAUUUUAUAAACAUCAAACGGAAUGCGCAGGUGAUAUAGACAGCAACAUAUGGUAUCUACAGUUUAUACCAUAUGUCGACAUCAAAAUCGCCCACUGGUCUAGACAAUAAAAAUACGGGCACACUGCGAGCACUCUUAGAUCGGUACUUUGUAUCUGUACGUUUGUCGUGCUUUGUUUCGAUCUGAUGAGUCAAGUUCUAUUGAUCGUUUUUUUUAAAAGAUGGUUUCAUGUUUCAUUAAUGUCCUAUGCUAGGUCAACAUUCGAAAUAUUUUUAUCGACGCCAUAUUCGGCAUUUGUCUGUUCAAAGACAGGAGCCUAUAGUUCAGUGUUUGUGGUUGGUGCUGUCUCAUUUGUUGUUAUAUAAAUAAAUCAGGCCAUUGGUUUUUCAUAUCCGGGUCUUUUAUGCCAUACUAUAUUUGAUAGGUUGUGGUCAUAGUUAUUUAAUUUACAAUAAGACCAUAUCUACAUGUCUUAUAUAAUAACGAAACGUUCUUUUUGUAUAAAGCGAUCUCUGAUUUUUAUGGAAGCAAUUCAAAAAUACCAAUUUUAAAUUUUGAAUAGUGUAUUAUUUAGUUAUCUAGUAGGUAGGAGACAAAUCAUAACACAUCGUUGUCAAUAUAAUGGAAUUUUAUGCGGCUGUCAUACAAUUGAGUGGUUUAGCAAGCUAUAAAACCAGGUUUUAUCCACCAUUUUCUAAUACGUACAUGCAUUUACAAAGUCAGGAAUAUGACAGUUGUUAUUCAUUCAUUUGAUGUGUUUUAGCUUGUAAUUUUUCCAUUUGCUAAAGAACUCUCCGUUUGGAAUUAUCGUCGGAAUUCGGUAUUUUUGUUAUUCUACAUUAUACGAAAAAACAACAGUAGCGUAACAAACAUAUAAAGCAACUACGAAAGGGAAAAACAAUAACUCAUAAAAAGCUCACAAAUCCCUCAUGAAGUACAACAAAGAACGAACUCAAAGAAACAAAUUAUGGGUUAACAAUGGUUCAAAAACUAAUGAAACCUGCUACUCGUAAAAAAAAUUAAAUGUGGCAGUAAUUGCCAGAAUUUUAAUCACAUACCUCACAGACAUACUGUACAAUAGCCAAAAAAGUAGCGUAUGAUAAUUACUCGAUAGAUUACGAAUUAAAUAAAAUAUAAGUACACAAGUAAACAAAAAUGAAUGAACACUGGACAAAACGUCUUAUGUCAGACAAAGCAACAUGAACUUAACCAAAAUUCAAGAAUCAAAUACAAAAAAGAAGAUGUGGUAUAAUUGCCAAUGAGACAACUGUCCACAAGAGACCAAAAUGACACAGACAUUAACAACUAUAGGUCAUCGUACGGCCUUCAACAAUGAACAAAGCCCAUGCGUAUUCCGGAAAGGAUAAGCAGCUCCUACUACGUGUGGAUCAAUAGACCGUAUAGUGACUUCUAGUCGUCUUUUGGUAUUUCAAUAUAUGACGAAUAUCCAUAAAACAAUUAAAAGCUCAUUGCCUUACUAAUUCUCAGACAGCUUUAGCCUGGUUUGUCAUAUCUUUUUGGACUUUUUGGUUUUUCCAACGAAGAUAAGAACGAACCUUCAUUAGAAAAUAAUACAUUCUUUAAAAAGAUGCAUUUCUGCAUUUUUUCCUGUAAACUUAAGAAUAGAAUUUUAAUAAUAUUUUUUUUCGACUAUUCCAACCUUUGAAACAUCCUGUUUCCCACCAUAACCUAAUACAAAACCUGUAUUUUAAUGAUCACAAAAAGGAGAUGUGAAUAAAAAUGCACCUUAUUUAUUAAAGCAUUAGUAAAACUUGUUAAGAAAAGUGGUCACCAGAAAAUGACACGCGAAAAUAACAUUUACCCUAUAACAACGUCCAAUCAUUCAUCUGAAAUAAUUUCCAUAAAUAUCAAAGGCAUAUAAGAGGGGUGAGAUAGUUUUUCUUCUUCUAAUAAAUGCCCCUAAAACAGCCAUCUUCGCGUAAAUGAACACGAACAAUGAAAUUGUAAAAAUUUCUAAGUUACAAGUCCAGUUAUGCAAACGUAACAAAGGAACACAAACAAAAAGUAAAAGUAAAAAAACAAGAAUGAACAAUAUAAAAAAAGCCAAUUAAUUUGAACAAUUAAAUGUAACAAACAAACACCAAAAAAAUAAAUAGCGACAGUUCAACUCAAACAUUAUCAACAAACAUGAACCAACCAAAAGUACUGAUGUCAUUUAUAUCUGACAAACAAUAAAGAACCAACCAUAAAUGCUGAUACCACUUAUAUUUGACAAACAAACAAAAAAGACAAAUACAAGGCAACUGUAAUGUAACAAACGAUAAAUACAAGGCAACUCAAUGCAACAGAUGCAAACAAUAAAAAUAGGCAAUUCAAACGUAUCUAAGAAACAAACAUUACUGAUGCUGAAAUUGUAAAUGAAUUAACAUUGGGGAUACAGAUUUGGGAAACUUGUAUCCAGCCAUUUAGGAGCCAUUCGUUGUAUUACUUUAAAGAAAUUAAUAUAUACAAAGGGGAUCUCAUUACACUUGGCAGACCAUUCAAUAUCCUGUUGUUAGUAGGUAGAGAGACUAGUACAUUUUUAUCAAAUUUGCCGAGGUUGGUAAUCGUUGUCAUAAUUAGCAAGUUGUGACAAGGCAAAAAGAAGAAUAGAUUGAAAUUUUGGAUGACAAGAGAUUUGAUUAAUUCCUCCUUGUGUAUAGGUGUAUGCAUUUCAGUACGAUUUAAAGUCUGCCGUCUACGUUUUUAUUUGUACCAGGCUCCCAAUUUAAUGUGAAAGUAAACGUUUUCAUCAGGAGAAUGCUAUUAAUUAUUUUGGGCAUUAUCAGUGAAAAAAUUAAAGUAUUCAUGUCCAAGAAUGUAACAUGGUCUUCAUUCUCUCUUUGACUUCCAAUCAGAAAUUAAUUUUCGAGGUACCAAAUUUAACACUUAGAAAUAAUUAUUUCUUGAAUUCCUAAAUUCAUAUCUUUGAUGAUCAUUACAAGAUUUCGUGUUUAAACAUAUCUAUAAAAAUCAAUCGAACAGAGUCACGUCAGAAGCAAAUAAAACAUGGUAUAUCAGCUUAUAACAAGUCUUAAAUGAAUUCAUACAUAAAUUGAUUGAACUUUUUUGGUAUGAAACGCUUUCAAUGUUUGCAGACCAUUUUUAUCUCCAAAAUGCAUCCUAUACGGCUGAACUCUCGGUUGAUUUUUUGUUUAGAGAUUGUUUUCUUGUCUGUAUUUUCCGGAAUCAUCAAUUUUACUUUAAAUUUAUAAUUAGAAGCAGAUUUCUUCGUCGCAAUGAGUCUCAAUAAAGAGUCAAUCAUCAAUUGUUUUUUUUUCCUCCAGAUUUAAAUAUAAUAUUCAGUUAAUAAAUAAAAUAGUAAUAGUAAUAGUAAUAGUAAAAUUUCUAAAUAUUUUGUUUUUUAAACUAGAUUAUAAAGCUGCAAAUGUUUGUAAAGUAACACAUUGUCUUCUAUUUACUUCUCACUGUUGCUCAAACUAGUAUUUACACCAGCAUACUUCCAAACAAGAGAUAUAAUUUGCAUUCACUUGUAAUAUUCAAAUGCGGUUCCAGCUUCAGGAAGUGAGUUUCUAGAAAGUAAUACAGGGAUGGUACUUAAUCAAUUGUAUAGUUAAUUGAUGUCAUACAUACUUCUGCUGAUAACUUGGAUGUUAUUUAUAACAUAAUGGUCAAUGACGAUAUUGGAGUACUGUCGGUACCAGAUUUUACCACACAGACAGCAAACAGUGCUAUUUUGUAAAAUUUAAAUGAUACAUAGAUAUAGGAAGAUGUGGUGUGAGUGCCAAUGAGACAACUCUCCAUCCAAAUAACAAUUUAUAAAAGACCAUUAUAGGUCAAUGUACGGCCUUCAUCACGGAGCCUUGGUUCAAACCGAACAACAAGCUAUAAAGGGCCCAAAAUUACUAGUGUAAAACCAUUCAAACGGAAAAACCAACAGUCUAGUCUAUGUUCCUUUGAGAUUUCAGAUUUCUAGUUACGUUAUUGCAGGUACAGUAAGGUUGCAAUGUGUACAGGUAACAUUGAUCAUACAUUAAAGUGACUGAUCUUUGUGAACGCUUUUUGGCUUAUAGGUUGAGGAUUCUUGACAAUUUACAAUUACAAACAAGUGUUUCAUAUCUGUAUACUUUUACUCUCUGUUUGUGGCAAUACUUUGAGUUGUUUACUCCUUGAUAUCUUCUUAAUACCCUCACGCAAGUGGUAUAUUAAUUAUGACUACGACACAAUAUUCAAAUGUUUUCUUCGCAAAAUAUGUAGUUGAUUUUUCAGACGUUCAUAUCAGCAGGUUUAGUACUACAAGCUUGCUUUUACUAAUUAUCAGAAUUCUAUGAUAGGAUAUUUUCUAUUUUUGUUUUGCUUACUCCUGUGUUUUGUUAUCUGUUUCUCAGAUAAUAUAAAAUGUAGUGCUUCUCUUGUCUGAUUUAUACUGAACCGGCUCUAAAGUACUUUGUUUCCAUUGUAUUAGAUAAAGAUCCGAUAAGGUGAAAAAAGAGCAGUUUACUCACUUAAACAAUUCCCGAAAAUUUAAUUACUCAUAAUAACAUUGACAGACUAACUGCAAAAUUAAAGAACAAAUAUUCGGAAGCUCUAAUAUGUAAGGUGAAAACUCAAAUCAGGUUCGUAGUUCAUAAGUAGUUGAUUAAAUACAGUUGUUCGUCUAUUUUCUACACUAAACAUCGGUUCACUACCCUUAUAUCUAAGUAAAAAAUAAUGUCUGUUUGUUUUUUUCAGACAUCAUUGUCAAUAUAAUGGAAUUUUAUGCGACUAUCAUACAAGUGAGAGGUUAAGCUAACUAUAAAACCAGGUUCAGUCCACCAUUUUCUACGUAAGAAGUACCAAAUCAGGAAGAUGACAGUUUUUUUUUUCCAUUCGUUUGAUAUGUUUGAGCUUUUGACUUUACCAUUUGAUAAGGGACUUUCAAACAGUAGACCAAGAGGGUAAAAUUAAACUUCAAAUUCAAACGUAGAAAUCCUUUGGUAAUCUCAGUAAGUCAUAUUGUAACAUCCUCCAUUCUCUUUUCCGGACUUCUAUGUAAGGUCCAGGGCCAGCUAAUAAAAAGACUGCUAAGUUAGUUAUCCUCCAAAAGAGAGACGGAAGACACUAAAGGAAUAUUCAUAACCAGAUGUGUUAUGAAGACCAAUGAGAAUUCUCCAUCCAUGUCACAAUUUGUAAAAGUAUAUUAUAGGUCAAGGUACGUUCUUCAAGACGCAGCUUUGGCUCACAAUGAACUGCAAGCUAUAAAGGGUCCUAAAAAUACUAGUGUAAAACCAUUCAAACAGGAUAAACGGAAUAAUCUAUAUAUAAAAAGGCGAGAAAAGAGAACCACAGCACCAUACAACAACCACUGAACAUCGAGUUCCUGACUUGGAAUAGGUACACACAAAAGCAGCAGGUUUAAACGUUUUAAUAGGUACCAACCGUCACAGUAGUGUAAUAUUUAUAAUUCUAAGACAAACAUAGAACGCCAUAAAAAAAAACACAAAAAAAAAACCGACCAAAAGGCAAUAGUAUACGGGACGGUAUUUUGGUAAAGACACUUGUAACAUAUCCAUCGUUAUCUAUACAAAAGAUUGUCUAUAAAUGUUAACCAACUUAGGGAUUCGUUCGUAAAAUUGUGGCAACUUUACCACAAGGAAUCAUCAACGCGCGGGGAGCAGGGGAUAUUCACUUCAUAUGCAAGAGCAGAAGUUAUUUUGCAACAUAUAAAUGGUAAAUUAACAAUUUGAAGUAAGUAAUCAAGCAACAUAACUUUCUCUGUAAGAGCCUUCUGCAAUUUAGGUAUCUAAUAAAGUGAACAAAAGUCAAAUUCUUCAUCUGUUCUUCUGUCACGGGGGUAUAUGUGAAAAAUCGAAAUAUAUUGUCAAUACCUAUAGCUAUUUCCUUUAUCAAGCAGUUUAUGUAAUGUGAUUUGUCUGCUUGGACAACAAUGUAUUUUUCAUGAAUUAACAAUUGUGUGUUAAAAGAUCUAGAUAGCACGUAUUUUCGUAUACCUCUUAUUGUUUAUAAUGCUAAAUUGUAUCAACGACAUCACAGCCUAAACACAGUUGGAGAGAAAAGAAAUUGCCAAUACAAUUGAGAAUGGAAAUGGGGAAAGUGUAAAAGAGACAACAACCCGAAAAAAAAGAGCAGAAAAUAGCCGAAGUACACCAAUGGGUCUUCAAUACAGCGAGAAAAUCCCCUUGGGACAGGCGCAAAAAAGCCGCGGGGUUAAACAUAUUUUUUUAUACCUCAACUACCCCCUAUACAUCAAGCCAAUGUAGAAAUACAUACACACAACAAUUCGCACAGUAAAAGUCAGUUUGAAAGAAGCCCAAGUCUGAUAUAAGAACAGGUAACAAAAGAAACUAAACAAAGUGACAAUGAUACAUAAAUGAACAUAGACUACUGGCAGUUACUGACAUCAAGCUCCAGACCUCAAUUAAGCUUUGACAAUGUCUUUCUAAAUAAGAGUUAUUUUACUCUUUAUUUGUACUGUAGUCCUGUUAUUUAAUAUCAUUUUAGUGGUAUAUUUAACAUUAUUAUAAAGCGCGGAGUUUUGGCUAGCCAUUAAACCAGGAUCAACCAACCAUUUUUUUUUUUAUUAAAAUGUCCUGUACCAAGUUAGGAAUAUGGCAUUUGUUAUCUAACAUAUCGUUUCUAUUCAUGUUGUAUUGUCGUUUGUUUUUUUUUUUUUUUGUUGCUCUUCAGUGUUCUGUUGUUUCGUUGUUUUCCUCUUAUAGUUGAUAUGUUUCCCUCAGUUUUAGUUUGUAACCUAGAUUUGUUUUCUCUCAAUCAAUUUAUGACUUUUGAAAACCGGUAUGUUCACAAACAAAGGUUCUUAAUACUUUCGUGAGACAUGUCGCAACGUAGCAAAUGUUGAGGACAUACACUGUUUUGCUCUCUUAAUGAGGUUUUUUUCUGAAGAAAAAAUUCCUAAUUUACAACAUGAACAGCAUGGUCAAUUUGACAAGAAAAACUAAAUAUUGUUUUUUUUAAUUGAAUUUAUUCAGAUCUUCAGUGAAGGUAUGAAUAAAAAUUGUGAAACGGUAUUUUUUUUUUCAUGAAAAUAGCCCAAAACUUGGUUCAAAUUUAUGAAAAAUUGGUAAAUCAUUAAAAAGGAUACAUUCAAAUGUCCAUAGCAAAAACAGAAGUGCAGCACCAUAUGAUUUUUUCUUAAUCAUUUACCUUUUUUACAGAAAUAUACACGAAAAAUUUGGUUAAGGAAAUGAGUUUAAUUCUAAAAGAUAUUGGCUCCUCACAAGUGUACAUCCUAAAGUAAGUUUUAGAUAUAACAUGUAAAUGUAAUCUUCCUAUCCAGAUAACCGCAAUUUCCAAAGAUACAAAUGAGUAAUUUUUUAAGUAAGAUUCAAAGAUAAUAUCCUGAUCCAUCGGAGUAAUGUCCAAUAUUCGAAUAACUUACUAACUGCUAUAUGUGUUAUUUUAAUUGAUUAUCUUAAAGUUAGUCAAAGGGUAGAUCAUUGUUUUGCUCUCAAAAUUAAGGCCCAACAGACAAAAUAUCUAAAAGCUUUCCCGUUUGAUGUUAAAAGGUAAAUACUCAUUAAUACUAUUAUAAAAAGAAAAUAUAAAUAAAUCCUCUCAUGAUUAAAGUCAAUGGUACAAUAUCGUAAGUAAGGUGAAAUUAGUAGACUUUCCGCAAAGAGAGGCAAAAGUUGUACAAAAGGGACGAUAGCAAUCACUUUUCUUUCGAGUGCCCUUCACAAAGAAGUAAGAGAAAUGAUGUUUUUAAAUUGAAAUAUAUGCUUUAUCAAUUGUGCUAAUAAUGGCUGGUGACGGUGACCAAUAAUAUUAACAAAAUAAAGAAAUUGUUUAGUUUGUACAACCUUAUAUAAGAAUAACUCAAAGAUUUAGAACAUUCUAUCUGAAUUCCUACUUGUUUACUCAUCACGUCAUUCCAGUCUCAUCAUAUACUUCAUUUAUCUUGUAUUUUUUAUUUUUUAUUUUUUAUUUUUUAUUUUUUGUUUUUUAUUUAUUUAUUUUUUUUUUUGUAUUUUGUAUUUCAUACAUUCCUACAUGUUUUAUCUAAUGUAGUUUGAGUGUAAACUUGUAUGUGGAGAUGACGUCACUAUAAUGUUGUAAUAACUUGUGUGUGGAGAUGACGUCACUAUAAUUUUGUAAUAACUUGUGUGUGGAGAUGACGUCACUAUAAUCUUGUAAUAACUUGUAUGUGGAGAUGACGUAAAUAUAAUGUUGUAAUAACUUAUGUACAAUCCUGUUGCUCCUUUUCCAAAUGAAAUAUGUUGAAACUACUACCAAAGGGAUAUUAUAGUCAAUAGUUCGAAAAUAAUUUGACAAUUUUAUGAUAAAAAAAUAUCAUCGACCAAUAGACAAAAAACUGUACACAAAACACAACAUAGAAAAAUAAAACACUGAGUAACACAAACCCCGCCAAAACAAGAUAAGCUCGCAGGUAAUCAUGAAAGGUAAGCAGAUCCUGCUUUAUAUAAUACACCUGUCGUACUGCUUAUAUAAGUACAACAUAGGUAAUAAGUCUAAUUUUGUAGGUUAGAUUCGUUAAAUAGAGGAAUGGAGUGUGGUAACGACAAUUAGACAUAUACUUUGUAAUUUGUGAAAUAUCAGCAAAGCAAAUCGUGAUUGUGUUCGUCACUUUAUUGAAUGGAGGAUAUCAAUUUCAUCACCUUGGACACUUGGUUUGAUAGCUUCCUUUUAAAAGAGGGGCGAAAAAUACCAGAGCGACAGUCAAACUCAUAAAUCGAAAAUAAACUGACAACGCCAUGGUUAAGAAUGAAAAAGACAAACAAGCAAUAAUACACGUGACACAACAUAGAAUAUUAAAGAAUAAGCAACACGAACCCCUCCAAAACCUGGGGGUAAACUCAGGUGCUCCGGAAGGGUAUGCAGAUCCUGCUCCACAUGUGACACCCGUCGUGUGGCUCAUGUUAUAACACAUCCGGUAAAUAGUCUAAUUCGGUAGCAGCAACGCUUUAUCAAUCUCUGACAUAUUGUAUCAGCUAAGAGAUAUAUACUAUAUAUACAAGCGUUGCUGAAAUGUUACUACAUAAAAAAUGGAAAGUUCACAAUUGAGAAGCUGAAAUCAUUUUGUUUGUAGAAAUGAUUUGUUCUCAACCAAUCCUCAUUGUCAAUGUCUAGAGGUAAGUCAAGAUAUGGAGCAGACUUAUAUGUAUUUGUUGUAUAGUGAUAAAUACAAUAAUUUUAAAGUCGAAAGGUAGAACAUACAAUUGCUCUCCUAAGUAGGGUGGAAUUGGAAGACUAUUUAAAUGCUCUAUUAAGUGCAAAAGUAUAGCAAUCAACAUAGGGUGACUGCUUUGCCUGCUGUAAAUAUUUGCUCCCUUGACAUCUGGUCCCUUUUUAGAAAUUACCCUUUAAUCGACUGAAAAGAACUUGCAGAACAGAGAAAUGCAGGGUUUGAUAGAAGCAUACCGACGCACCUGUUCUUACUUUCUCGUGAACUAUUUUUGCAGAAAAAAUAGGUCUUCGUCAUUUCUUAUUGUCAAUAAAUAUUGUUUUUGUAUUUCUGAAAACAUUUUUCUUUUUAUAACCCAAGUGGUAUCAUUCAAAUCAUAUUCCCUUCAAACGAGUAAUGGAGUAUUAUAGUACAACUUGUAUAAAUCUGUUCUCGCAUUUUAAGCAUAUUUUUUUUCCUUUUAAUAUCAUUGUUCAAGUGUACUCACUGAAUACUUCUGCAUGCAACGUGCCGAUAUAUAAAAGACAAAGGACAAUGAUAGAAACAGAGUAAACACAGAGGUCAUGUUUGAUGUCUCCAUGUUGCUAAGAUGAACAUCCUUGACAUUCAAGUUGCAUACAAAUAUUGAAUUUUACUUUUUAAGUGGAGAGGUCUUUUGUAUUGAAUAUAAUUUACAAUUAAUUUUUUAAUAAAAACUAUUUAUAAACACCCUUAUC
Molecule: long non-coding RNA, 39165 nt
Filed under: Mytilus galloprovincialis (Mediterranean mussel)
Lineage: Eukaryota; Metazoa; Mollusca; Bivalvia; Mytilida; Mytilidae
Source: RNAcentral